RNAcentral lists this ribosomal RNA (394 nucleotides) under Streptomyces cinerochromogenes. RNAcentral's name for it is "bacterial SSU rRNA". It matches the Rfam family "Bacterial small subunit ribosomal RNA", at positions 106 to 514 of the family's 1533-position model. The record is from RNAcentral. Lineage: Bacteria; Bacillati; Actinomycetota; Actinomycetes; Kitasatosporales; Streptomycetaceae.
GUGAGUAACACGUGGGCAAUCUGCCCUGCACUCUGGGACAAGCCCUGGAAACGGGGUCUAAUACCGGAUACGAGCCUCCAAGGCAUCUUGGAGGUUGGAAAGCUCCGGCGGUGCAGGAUGAGCCCGCGGCCUAUCAGCUUGUUGGUGAGGUAACGGCUCACCAAGGCGACGACGGGUAGCCGGCCUGAGAGGGCGACCGGCCACACUGGGACUGAGACACGGCCCAGACUCCUACGGGAGGCAGCAGUGGGGAAUAUUGCACAAUGGGCGAAAGCCUGAUGCAGCGACGCCGCGUGAGGGAUGACGGCCUUCGGGUUGUAAACCUCUUUCAGCAGGGAAGAAGCGAGAGUGACGGUACCUGCAGAAGAAGCGCCGGCUAACUACGUGCCAGCAG